CCCUUAGAUGUUCUGGGCCGCACGCGCGCUACACUGAUGCAUUCAACGAGUUUUUCCUGGUCCGAGAGGAAUGGGUAACCUUUUGAAAGUGCAUCGUGCUAGGGAUAGACUAUUGCAAUUAUUGGUCUUCAACGAGGAAUUCCUAGUAGACGUAGUUCAUCAGACUGCAUCGAUUACGUCCCUGCCCUUUGUACACACCGCCCGUCGCUCCUACCGAUUGGAUGAUCCGGUGAGCUAUUCGGACUUUCGCAUCGUCGAUUUUCGGCUUUACGAUGGAAAGUCUCGCGAACCUUAUCAUCUAGAGGAAGGAGAAGUCGUAACA
RNAcentral lists this ribosomal RNA (322 nucleotides) under uncultured eukaryote. RNAcentral's name for it is "partial 18S ribosomal RNA". It matches the Rfam family "Eukaryotic small subunit ribosomal RNA", at positions 1470 to 1796 of the family's 1831-position model. The record is from RNAcentral.